ACUCAAAUGAAUUGACGGGGACCUGCACAAGCGGUGGAGCAUGUGGUUUAAUUCGACGCAACGCGAAGAACCUUACCUAGGUUAAAUCAAAGUCGCAAGGCACAGAGAUGUGCCCCCCUCGCAAGAGGCGGCUUUGAAGGUGCUGCAUGGCUGUCGUCAGCUCGUGUCGUGAGAUGUUGGGUUAAGUCCCGCAACGAGCGCAACCCUUACCACUAGUUGCCAGCAUUGAGUUGGGGACUCUAGUGGAACUGCCGGUGAUAAACCGGAGGAAGGUGGGGAUGACGUCAAGUCAUCAUGGCCUUUAUGUCUAGGGCUACACACGUGCUACAAUGGACGGUACAGACCGCUGCAAACCCGCGAGGGGGAGCUAAUCGGAAAAAGCCGUUCUCAGUUCGGAUUGGAGUCUGCAACUCGACUCCAUGAAGUUGGAAUCGCUAGUAAUCGCGUAUCAGCACGACGCGGUGAAUACGUUCCCAGGUCUUGUACACACCGCCCGU
RNAcentral lists this ribosomal RNA (497 nucleotides) under uncultured bacterium. RNAcentral describes it as "partial 16S ribosomal RNA". It matches the Rfam family "Bacterial small subunit ribosomal RNA", at positions 899 to 1397 of the family's 1533-position model. The record is from RNAcentral.